This 154-nucleotide unclassified non-coding RNA is filed under the name uncultured Periconia. Its description in RNAcentral is "sequence contains ITS2". Lineage: Eukaryota; Fungi; Ascomycota; Sordariomycetes; Microascales; Halosphaeriaceae. The record is from RNAcentral.
ACACCCUCAAGCUAUGCUUGGUGUUGGGCGUCUGUCCCGCCUCCGUGCGCGGACUCGCCUCAAAGUCAUUGGCAGCGGUCUCGUCGGCUUCUCGCGCAGCACAUUUGCGCUUCUCGGAGCCCCGGCGGAUCAGCGUCCAGCAAGCAAUUUCAUG